This 476-nucleotide ribosomal RNA is filed under the name uncultured organism. Its description in RNAcentral is "partial 16S ribosomal RNA". It matches the Rfam family "Bacterial small subunit ribosomal RNA", at positions 333 to 800 of the family's 1533-position model. The record is from RNAcentral.
ACACUCCUACGGGAGGCAGCAGUGGGGAAUAUUGCACAAUGGGCGCAAGCCUGAUGCAGCCAUGCCGCGUGUAUGAAGAAGGCCUUCGGGUUGUAAAGUACUUUCAGCGGGGAGGAAGGCGAUAAGGUUAAUAACCUUGUCGAUUGACGUUACCCGCAGAAGAAGCACCGGCUAACUCCGUGCCAGCAGCAGCGGUAAUACGGAGGGUGCAAGCGUUAAUCGGAAUUACUGGGCGUAAAGCGCACGCAGGCGGUCUGUCAAGUCGGAUGUGAAAUCCCCGGGCUCAACCUGGGAACUGCAUUCGAAACUGGCAGGCUAGAGUCUUGUAGAGGGGGGUAGAAUUCCAGGUGUAGCGGUGAAAUGCGUAGAGAUCUGGAGGAAUACCGGUGGCGAAGGCGGCCCCCUGGACAAAGACUGACGCUCAGGUGCGAAAGCGUGGGGAGCAAACAGGAUUAGAAACCCCGGUAGUCCCAUGA